AGAGACAGCAGUCGCCGCGGGAAUACGUAGGGUGCAAGCGUUAAUCGGAAUUACUGGGCGUAAAGCGUGCGCAGGCGGUUAUAUAAGACAGAUGUGAAAUCCCCGGGCUCAACCUGGGAACUGCAUUUGUGACUGUAUAGCUAGAGUACGGCAGAGGGGGAUGGAAUUCCGCGUGUAGCAGUGAAAUGCGUAGAUAUGCGGAGGAACACCGAUGGCGAAGGCAAUCCCCUGGGCCUGUACUGACGCUCAUGCACGAAAGCGUGGGGAGCAAACAGGAUUAGAUACCCCCGUAGUCCCUGUCUCUUAUAC
RNAcentral lists this ribosomal RNA (309 nucleotides) under uncultured bacterium. Its description in RNAcentral is "partial 16S ribosomal RNA". It matches the Rfam family "Bacterial small subunit ribosomal RNA", at positions 504 to 807 of the family's 1533-position model. The record is from RNAcentral.